AUGACUGUUGCUUUCCAAUUAGCUGUUUUUGCAUCAAUUGCGACUUCCCUUGUAUUUGCUUCUCCUGAUGGUUGGUCAAAUAAUAAAAAUGUUGUAUUUUCCGGUACAUCAUUAUGAAUUGGACUAGUGACUAUUUUGAAUUCUCUCAUUUCAUAA
This 156-nucleotide ribosomal RNA is filed under the name Triticum aestivum (bread wheat). RNAcentral's name for it is "partial small subunit ribosomal RNA". The record is from RNAcentral. Lineage: Eukaryota; Viridiplantae; Streptophyta; Magnoliopsida; Poales; Poaceae.